Molecule: ribosomal RNA, 369 nt
Filed under: Escherichia coli
Lineage: Bacteria; Pseudomonadati; Pseudomonadota; Gammaproteobacteria; Enterobacterales; Enterobacteriaceae
Description: bacterial LSU rRNA
Rfam family: Bacterial large subunit ribosomal RNA
Source: RNAcentral
GUAGGCUGGUUUUCCAGGCAAAUCCGGAAAAUCAAGGCUGAGGCGUGAUGACGAGGCACUACGGUGCUGAAGCAACAAAUGCCCUGCUUCCAGGAAAAGCCUCUAAGCAUCAGGUAACAUCAAAUCGUACCCCAAACCGACACAGGUGGUCAGGUAGAGAAUACCAAGGCGCUUGAGAGAACUCGGGUGAAGGAACUAGGCAAAAUGGUGCCGUAACUUCGGGAGAAGGCACGCUGAUAUGUAGGUGAAGUCCCUCGCGGAUGGAGCUGAAAUCAGUCGAAGAUACCAGCUGGCUGCAACUGUUUAUUAAAAACACAGCACUGUGCAAACACGAAAGUGGACGUAUACGGUGUGACGCCUGCCCGGUGC